CUGCCUCCUCCCUGCUGGGCCUCGGGAGGUUGUAGAGCAGGUGAGGAGCUGAAGUUUCCCCAGCUCUUCCAAACUCCAUCCAGACCGUGAAUGCUCACAUCCCCUUUCUUCCUCCUGGUGUCUCUCUGUUCAGCCCCUAGAUACACAGCUAGGGUCACUCACCACACUCGUGUGAGGCCUGCUUGUAAGCUCAGGACACACUGGAUGAAGACCCAGCCAAGACCACAAUGUGAACCUCACCUCCUCCAGGAAGCCUUCCCUGACUACCUUCAAAGUCAUUUUAUACUUUAUGACCAAGGUCAGUUCCACCUUGUAAGAGCAGCAGCGCCCGGGGCAGCCACCACCAAAACAGCAGGCCAACAGAGUGGUGAGCAGGGCAUUGGUCAGUGAAGCAGGAAGGAGGACCAGCUCUUGGAAGACAGUGCAGCCAGGCCCCUAUUCCCCCAGCAAAGCCCUAAGCACUGCUCUGGAUCUCUUCCUAUAUUUUCUCCACUUUCCCCAAGCCUCUAGUUAGAGAACAUUCCAGAUGAACUGCUUGUCUCCAAGCCAGGAAGCUCUCCAUAGGUUUCAGUCCAAUUCAUCUCAGCCUUGGGGGCCUCCAGAAUAGGAUUGCCAGGCAUCCUGUAUAUCAGAAUAUCUUAUACCUGCUAAACAUGUCCCACACCCUGUGUGGGCCAGCAGGAUGUCCUCCACAAACAAGAUUUAGCUUUUUUUUCUUUUCCUUUUUUUUUUUCAGGAUUCAGCUUUUAUCAAUCGAUAAAAAACAUUCAGCCCUUUUAGAGCUCUUUUCUUAGUUUAUCUGGGCAUCCUAUAUUUUUAUUUGCUAAAUCUGGCAACGUCAUUCCCAGAAGCCAGGUAUUUAGAGACCACACCACACACCACACCCUGGGGGAAGGUAAAGGGGGUGGUUUCUACACAGAUCACAUAAGUAGUUCUGUGUGUAUGUAUGUGUGUGUGUGUGUGUGUGUGUGUGUGUGUGUGUCCGUGCAUGUUAUGUGUGUGCCUGUGUGUGCCCCAAGCCCCCUGGGAGUGUGCUCUGCGUGUAGGUAGGUAUGAGCCUGUUUGGCACAGGGGUUGAGCCAUCAUCUUCAUUCAUCGCUGAACAAAGCAUGGUGGGAGAGGGGGUGGUAGGGGAAGACUCACCAGGAUUUUC
Molecule: long non-coding RNA, 1153 nt
Filed under: Vulpes vulpes (red fox)
Lineage: Eukaryota; Metazoa; Chordata; Mammalia; Carnivora; Canidae
Description: lncRNA (ENSVVUG00000010677.1)
Source: RNAcentral